RNAcentral lists this long non-coding RNA (458 nucleotides) under Mus spicilegus (steppe mouse). Its description in RNAcentral is "lncRNA (ENSMSIG00000009521.1)". Lineage: Eukaryota; Metazoa; Chordata; Mammalia; Rodentia; Muridae. The record is from RNAcentral.
AUUCUACCCCACAGUGUCUGCUCCAUGCCCAGGAGGAUAAGAGCUGUGGCUUCUCUGUCUUGAGUGGAUGAAUUCCAACUGAUAAAAGUGGCUUAUGGGACAGAUGCGAUACAAUCAAAGCAAAUUGAGGAAGAAAGUAAAAACAAAUCAAUCUGGAAGAGAAUUUUCAAGGUGGUAUUAACACAUGUAACUGGAAUCUUCAAGCACAAGAGAGAGUGGGAGGAAGGUCAAAGGAUUGAAGUAGACUAGAUCUGAAAAAAGCAUGAAAAGAAAAUACAUCCAUAAAUCUCUACUCAACAAUUCCAAAUCACAACAGAACAUCAAAGCGAACUGACGACUACUUGCAAAAAGAAGAAAAAUUACCCGAGGGCAGUCAGAUGAAAACAGGCUACUUUGCAUUCUUUGGAAGAAAGAUGUAAGUGCAGCAGAGAGGACUAUUGGAUGUUAUGCAAAUCUAG